Molecule: ribosomal RNA, 467 nt
Filed under: uncultured bacterium
Lineage: Bacteria
Description: partial 16S ribosomal RNA
Rfam family: Bacterial small subunit ribosomal RNA
Source: RNAcentral
GAUGAACGCUGACAGCAUGCUUAACACAUGCGAGUCAACUUGAAUUUGGGUUUUUAACUUAGGUUUGGGUGGCGGACGGGUGAGUAACGCGUAAAGAACUUGCCUCACAGCUAGGGACAACAUUUGGAAACGAAUGCUAAUACCUAAUAUUAUGAUAAUAGGGCAUCCUAUAAUUAUGAAAGCUAUAAGCGCUGUGAGAGGGCUUUGCGUCCCAUUAGCUAGUUGGAGAGGUAACGGCUCACCAAGGCGAUGAUGGGUAGCCGGCCUGAGAGGGUGAUCGGCCACAAGGGGACUGAGACACGGCCCUUACUCCUACGGGAGGCAGCAGUGGGGAAUAUUGGACAAUGGACCGAGAGUCUGAUCCAGCAAUUCUGUGUGCACGAUGAAGUUUUUCGGAAUGUAAAGUGCUUUCAGUUGGGAAGAAACAAAUGACGGUACCAACAGAAGAAGUGACGGCUAAAUACGUG